Long non-coding RNA from Varroa destructor (honeybee mite), 1246 nucleotides. NCBI's taxonomy places the organism in Eukaryota, Metazoa, Arthropoda, Arachnida, Mesostigmata, Varroidae. The record is from RefSeq and is a predicted model, not a curated record.
UUUUGAAACAAGUGCAGCCUUCAAAACGCGUGAUCAAAGUUAGAAGUUGGGUCCAUUCGAAGUUGACCUCGACAAAUUACUCCGUUCGUACAUACGGUUUUGGUUAGAUCGUCAAACUUUACUAACUAUUUAGGAGCUGUCUCCAGAAACGACGAUACGAUGGCGCUCAUUUAAUUCAAACGUCCAGACAAUAAUUGUUAAAAGUUUUGCGAGAAAUUUGUCCGGCCAUCGUUUCGCUGUCCGUCGAUAAUUUCCGUUCGGGACAGCGGAUAGAACAGGCAACGUAGAAAAACAAGUAUCGGGCUUGGGAAUGCGGUAUGUUUGUGCGACCCCGACACCAAGGAGUGGACUGUAACAUACAGCGCUGAUAUCUGAUAAGCGUAAGACAAGCCAUUACUAACACUGCCGGUCCUGAUGUUCCUAGUGUAGUAGGAUUGACAGCCGGCAUUGACUUGGUAAAGCUAUACGCCACAAGUUUCAUUGGCCAGUAGAAUAGCUGGUCUGACCAGCCUACAAACAGCAGUUUCCCGCCAGUGUCGCUCUCAACAUCGCCAGCGUAGAGCUCAGCGAAGCCACUGAUUAAGCUGGUGGCAACAAUACCACUAAGCGGGUAAACGACGAGGCGUCUAUCCGGAAAGCCAAGCUGUCGUCCGUACAGGGAGCUAAUGGCUGAUGGGGUGCCUGAGAGCCUCUACUGGUCUUCACGGUUCUGCCAGAUUCAGCCCCAUCAGUCUAGUCCGGUGAAACGCAAAGAUGUUAUAGUUCAGCCAAUAAAGCAUGAGAGGAUAGAAGACUUACCACACAGCUGCUAUUUGCAUUGGGGCCUUGCUACACGAAGGCAUUUCGAGGAAUGAGCACGGUACCUCCGAACGCAUAGCGGGAUGUUGAAUCUGCGUGGUGCGAGUAACCUGCACGAUGAGUGCACCAAUUAGCGGAGCGCCAUUGAGUUGACAUAUCUCUAUGUUUCGAGUUUCACGUCCGGUAUGGCCGUUAGGCAUUCCAUCAGUCGACUGGUUCCCAACGCGAAACGCAGUCUGUCUCUGCUCGGGUUCGAACCUACAAGUAGGAAAACUCACCCAGCUCUCACGGGAACACGUUGACGGACCUAACGGAGCGCUCGUAGUAGUUAGAAAAGCACAGUACGAGAGCGUGCACCAUAUGCCGUAGCUUAUCCAGUUCCCGAGUUUCGUACUAGUUCUACAAUAUAUAAUAAGUACAAUUAAGUUUGCCGAAAGGGGCAACGGUA